GCACAGCCUGUUCUCCUGACAUUUCCCAGAGGCAGCUGCUUAAAGUUUGCGAUUUAAAUCAUUAAAUGCUUGAUUUAUGGUGCAUGCUUCCAGAGCCUCAGCACUCUUCCAACUCACAUUGCAAUGUAUCCUCCUCCUAAUCAUGUUACUCUUCAAAUAAAUUUGGAUGUCUGUGGGGUUAAAAUAACCCAUCGUCUUCAUUUUCGUACAAAUCGACAAGAUUGUUUUUCUGACAGUCACUGCGGCAGUGCAGAGUGUGACUGGGAACAGCUUUGUUAGCAGGCUGAAGGCAGACUUACAGCUUCAUUGAGGUAUGAAUAUCAUUGGCUGGUGCACUCUUGCUUCUAAAAUGUCUUCCCUUUGGAUAAGAUCUGUAUCUGUGUUGAAAAUAGUUGAUUGCUUGCUGGAACAAGUUGUUUGUUUGUUUUUUGUUCUUAAUUAAACGAGGGAAGUAAUUCAACACCUCCAGUCUUGGAAGACAUGGAGCACGGGGCUAGGAGACAGGGUUUCUUCAAGGAGUUUCUCUAACCUCAGCUCCUGCUCAGAACAACAACUCACCUUUGAUUUGUGUAUAGAAAUUAUGUGUUCUUUUGCAACUAGAAAGAAAUUCAGUGCUUUGAAAUUAAUGAAGACCCACACAGAGCUAUUAAAAGGACCGUUGCAUCAUACAUAAAACUGUUUCAAAAGCAUAAAUUAGAAAGCAAACAGCAGAUGAAAAUAAUAUUUUUUAUUGUUCUUUCUAUCACAGUAGACUGAAUUCUGACCCGUAGGAGGUUGUCACGAUGCAGCUGUGCAUAGCUGAUGUGUCCUUCUGUAGCUCAUAUUGGGGUGGAUUUCUUUUUUCUGGCUACUGACUAAUUCAAAACAAUAAAUCUUUUUUAUUAUUUUUUUUCGUAUCUGUUUUGUUGAGUGUCAUAUUCCCCAAAACCUUCAGAGCGGGAAUACAGUGAAAGAGGAACCAUGAGCACAGCCAUUCAAAUGUUAAAAAGGCACUGCUCAGCCCAAGUGUGCUUGUUGUGUUUGGUGCUGUGACUAUUUCAACACUGCAGCAUUGCUGCUGAGAAUCCUGGUGCAAAGCCUGUUUAAAACUGGAACGCUUCGAAAUUCGCCAAAAGAUUCAGUUGCAUCCCAUUUACAGGAUGAAUAGGAUUCAGUUUCAUCCGAAAGGAGCCUGGGUCAUCCAGACCGCACAGCAGUGAGAACAAAAGCACAGAAAAUGGGAACCAUUGGGAGACUGGCCUCUAAAGCACCUACAACCCUGACUACAUCUGUGAUGGCGACAAGCUCCCAGUGGGUCACAAUAAAUACCCAGUGGCAAUGGAGACAAGUGGGUGGAGUAUAAGAGUGCCUGGAGUUAACAUAAUGAAACUGAAUCCUUUUCUUGAACAAGAAGUGAAAUAAACUUUAAAUCAAAGUCUCCAUUAAGGCCCCUUCUGCAAGAUGCUACUUUCAGUUUCUGAUAAUCAUUAUAAAUGGAGCAGAUUGGAAAAACUCAAAUGGAUCCAAUAUGAAAAGCCUCACUGCCUCCAGUCACUGCAGGGGGAGAGGAAUGCAGCCCCACUUACCUCCAAACUCAUUUUGGUCUUCCUACACCCCGACAGUAAAAUACAUGUGGAAAACCAGAAAUGCUGUGAGGUGAUGACAAUUACCUGAAGAUAUGAAGAUGAGCAGUGAACAGACCAGAGAAGAGAAGUCAGGUGUGGAUGGCCAGGCCACACCAUACUUCUGUACUCAUUAAGAAAAUAAAUAAACUCUUAGUUGGAUACAUUAAAAAAGAGUUGGUGGUUUCCAGCUGCAACUCACUUUAGUUCUUUAAAAUUAUCCUUGCGUUUCUGUUUAAGAAUUUACCUUGAGGAGGGAUGGGAAUCUGCUGCAUGCUACCAUCUGUCUUUCCUUAGAAAUACAGCACAAUAAAAGUGAGAUUGUCUUGUCUCUUUUAUAAGGUUAGUAAGAAAGCUUUGAUUGCUUCUUCUCUUAUUCACUAGAAAUUUAUAGUAAGAUGUUACAUUUUCCUUUUGUCUGUUUGCUGCAACAUCUGAGCUGUGUGUGAAAGACUGUGCCCUGUGGAUGAGAAGGUGCUUCACAGAGAGCAGCUUCAGUGAGCCAACUUAUUCACCAUGGUUCAAAAAUGGAAACUCCCCUCCAUUCUCAGAAUUUUGGUGCUUUUUGUUAUAUUCUGGGAUACUGUUGUGGUUAUAGCUUACUUCUGCCCCUUCUCCUGAAAUGCCCAAAUUUCUGUGAUGUGAGUUUUGUUCUACUUUUAGGAUGCCAAGUGGAAGAUUAUUCUAUUUCACUUUUGAGUCCUUUCCUGUUAUUACCUCAAACAUCGACAACAAAUUUUUCGGCCUUUCCCUUUUCUGAAGCAGUGGUGACAAAGUUCCUCUUUCUUUCCCCUUCUUCUUUUUCUUUUAAAACACAAAGAAACAAAACAUUCUCCAGAUGUUUUGUGAUCUAAUCCCUUAUUAACUUUGGAAAGAUCCUUUCUACCACAGGGAUCAGAUUCAUUAAUCUAUGGCUUCCUGACUCCUCUCCUACAGUAUUUCCAGGAAUGCAGAUACCUAUUUUGGCAUGGAAUCUGUAUUCCAUGAGCACAAACCUUCAAAUAUAUCUAUUUACCACACCUCUGACUGUAUCCGUUUCUCAAUCGGAUAAUUUAAUUUCCAGUCAAAGCAGGCACACAAAUUAGGCAGCCAUUUAAUCAGUGAUUAACCAAAUAAUCUCCUUUUACCAUAAAUUUGUAGUGUCUGGAGACCUUGUAGACUUCUUGGAAAAGGUGGCCUGUCU
Molecule: long non-coding RNA, 2784 nt
Organism: Gallus gallus (chicken)
Lineage: Eukaryota; Metazoa; Chordata; Aves; Galliformes; Phasianidae
Source: Ensembl